CCCCUAGAUGUUCUGGGCCGCACGCGCGCUACACUGAACAGUUCAACAAGUCUUAACCUUGGCCGAUAGGUCUGGGUAAUCUUUGAACGCUGUUCGUGAUUGGGAUAGACCUUUGCAAUUAUGGGUCUUCAACGAGGAAUUCCUAGUAAACGCAAGUCAUCAGCUUGCAUUGAUUACGUCCCUGCCCUUUGUACACACCGCCCGUCGCACCUACCGAUUGAAUGGUCCGGUGAAAUCUCGGGACGGCGGCUUGGUCGCUUGCGUCCGACUGCUGAAACUUGAUUAAACCCUNUNAUUUAUNGGAAGGUGAANUCGUANCA
This 320-nucleotide ribosomal RNA is filed under the name uncultured eukaryote. Its description in RNAcentral is "partial 18S ribosomal RNA". It matches the Rfam family "Eukaryotic small subunit ribosomal RNA", at positions 1470 to 1796 of the family's 1831-position model. The record is from RNAcentral.